AUAGUAUUUCCUCCGUCCGAAAAUACUUGUCAUCAAAAUGAAUAAAAAGAUAUGCAUCUAGAACUAAAAUACAUCUAGAUACAUUCCUUUUUAUCCAUUUUGAUGACAAGUAUUUACGGACGGAUGGAGUAGUUU
This is a non-coding RNA of Triticum urartu, 135 nucleotides long. NCBI's taxonomy places the organism in Eukaryota, Viridiplantae, Streptophyta, Magnoliopsida, Poales, Poaceae. The record is from Rfam.